AACAGGAAGCACUGCUCAUGUCAGUUUUCUCAUAACCUAAUUUUGGAGUGCUCAUUUCACUAGAAUCUGACUAGAACCAGAAAUUACACCCCUGUUUGAGGUUGGGUUCUCCAUAUAUACACUCUUGUUUUAGGUUGGGUUCUCCAUAUAUACACUCUUGUUUUAGGUUGGAUUCAGAUUCCAGAAAUUACACCCCUGUUCAGCCUGCAGCUUGCUGGUGUGUUGGAGUCUCUGGUCUUUGAGUUAAUAGUGUCCUGUUUUCCUGUGUUCAGUGCGUAAAGGCAGUUUAGUCAGUGUAGAUAUUAGUGUGGUGUAGAGAUUCCUGUGUUCAGUGCGUAA
Long non-coding RNA from Clupea harengus (Atlantic herring), 339 nucleotides. NCBI's taxonomy places the organism in Eukaryota, Metazoa, Chordata, Actinopteri, Clupeiformes, Clupeidae. The record is from Ensembl.